Long non-coding RNA from Phacochoerus africanus (Common warthog), 421 nucleotides. RefSeq lists it as uncharacterized. NCBI's taxonomy places the organism in Eukaryota, Metazoa, Chordata, Mammalia, Artiodactyla, Suidae. The record is from RefSeq and is a predicted model, not a curated record. The transcript is spliced from 3 exons.
UUCAAUGGCUUUUGCUACAACUUCAGAGUGUUGUCUACAGCCUGAAAUCCACAGGAAAGCUCAUUCUCAAGGCUCUGACCUUUAAAGGGACAUCAUGACAUGACCUACAUGGUCCGCUUCAAGAACAAAAGAUUCCAACACCAAGAAGUUUGCAACAACCAAUCACACAACAACCAUCUCCUUUUAGUAUAAAAAGCCUGAAUUCUAAAUUGGAGGCCAAGAAACCAACCCAGCAAUGAGCCAGCUCUCAAGGCCGACCUCCAAUCCUGCUCCUUUCCAGUAGCUGAGGUGUUAGCUAACGAGCAUUCGGCUUCUGCUUUCCCAUCCUUCCUGGCAACAGUCUCAACCCUCCCUGAUGGUGAGCAACGCAAGUUCCAGGCAUGCCUUGCUUCAUCGCUGGCUGCCCAGGUGUCACUUAAAC